Molecule: ribosomal RNA, 253 nt
Filed under: uncultured bacterium
Lineage: Bacteria
Description: partial 16S ribosomal RNA
Rfam family: Bacterial small subunit ribosomal RNA
Source: RNAcentral
UACGUAGGGUGCGAGCGUUGUCCGGAAUUAUUGGGCGUAAAGGGCUCGUAGGCGGUCUGUCGCGUCGGGAGUGAAAACUCAAAGCUUAACCCUGAGCCUGCUUCCGAUACGGGCAGACUAGAGGUAUGCAGGGGAGAACGGAAUUCCUGGUGUAGCGGUGAAAUGCGCAGAUAUCAGGAGGAACACCGGUGGCGAAGGCGGUUCUCUGGGCAUUACCUGACGCUGAGGAGCAAAAGUGUGAGGAGCGAACAGG